Molecule: unclassified non-coding RNA, 338 nt
Filed under: Hevea brasiliensis (rubber tree)
Lineage: Eukaryota; Viridiplantae; Streptophyta; Magnoliopsida; Malpighiales; Euphorbiaceae
Source: RNAcentral
UAAGCAUACAAAAAUUCACAGAAGAACAUUUGACCUCAAGAACAAGUAAAUUAAUACAAAAUUAACCCAUUUAGUGGCACUUAGACAUGACAACUUCAUACGAGCAAUUAAGAAGGUCUAAGUAGACAUUUAAUUGCUAACAAUUAAUGAACCAUUAUGCUAUUUGACAUCACAUGUGCGAAACUCAGAAUCCUACACUAGCAUAAAGAAAUAAUAUUGGUAGCUAAUAACAAUAUUCUAAAGAUGAUUACCCUACUACAAACGUGAGUAUUAUAAGGGAAUAUUGCAACAUUUAACACCUCCAACAAAAUAAUAUCUUCGAAAGCAAAUCUACUGGA